This 192-nucleotide ribosomal RNA is filed under the name Staphylococcus chromogenes. Its description in RNAcentral is "partial 16S ribosomal RNA". It matches the Rfam family "Bacterial small subunit ribosomal RNA", at positions 1 to 187 of the family's 1533-position model. Lineage: Bacteria; Bacillati; Bacillota; Bacilli; Caryophanales; Staphylococcaceae. The record is from RNAcentral.
UUUAUGGAGAGUUUGAUCCUGGCUCAGGAUGAACGCUGGCGGCGUGCCUAAUACAUGCAAGUCGCGCGAACUGACGACGAGCUUGCUCCUUUGACGUUAGCCGCGGACGGGUCAGUAACACGUGGGUACCCUACCUAUCAGACUGGAAUAACUCCGGGCAACCUGGUCUAAUGCCGGAGAACAUAUCGAACC